AACGAACGCUGGCGGCAGGCCUAAAACAUGCAAGUCGAACGAACCUUCGGGUUAGUGGCGCACGGGUGAGUAACACGUGGGAAUAUGCCUCUUGGUGCGGAACAACGUCUGGAAACGGACGCUAAUACCGCAUAAUAUCUACGGAUCAAAGAUUUAUCGCCAAGAGAUUAGCCCGCGUCUGAUUAGCUAGUUGGUGAGGUAAUGGCUCACCAAGGCGACGAUCAGUAGCUGGUCUGAGAGGAUGAUCAGCCACACUGGAACUGAGACACGGUCCAGACUCCUACGGGAGGCAGCAGUUAGGAAUAUUGGACAAUGGGGGCAACCCUGAUCCAGCCAUGCCGCGUGUGUGAUGAAGGCCUUAGGGUUGUAAAGCACUUUCAGCUGUGAAGAUAAUGACAGUAGCAGCAGAAGAAGCUCCGGCUAAAUUCGUGCCAGCAGCCGCCGCGG
This 447-nucleotide ribosomal RNA is filed under the name uncultured bacterium. RNAcentral describes it as "partial 16S ribosomal RNA". It matches the Rfam family "Bacterial small subunit ribosomal RNA", at positions 29 to 523 of the family's 1533-position model. The record is from RNAcentral.